GGAUGAACGCUAGCUACAGGCUUAACACAUGCAAGUCGAGGGGCAGCGAUGAAGAAAGCUUGCUUUCUUCAGGCGGCGACCGGCGCACGGGUGAGUAACGCGUAUCGAACCUGCCUCAUACUCAGGAAUAGCCUUGCGAAAGUAAGAUUAAUGCCCGAUGUUAUUAGGAUAUCACAUGAUGUUUUAAUUAAAGAUUUAUCGGUAUGAGAUGGCGAUGCGUCCCAUUAGUUUGUUGGCGGGGUAACGGCCCACCAAGACAUCGAUGGGUAGGGGUUCUGAGAGGAAGGUCCCCCACAUUGGAACUGAGACACGGUCCAAACUCCUACGGGAGGCAGCAGUGAGGAAUAUUGGUCAAUGGACGCAAGUCUGAACCAGCCAAGUAGCGUGCAGGAAGACGGCCCUCUGGGUUGUAAACUGCUUUUAGUUGGGAAUAAAGUGCAUCACGUGUGAUGUUUUGUAUGUACCAUCAGAAAAAGGACCGGCUAAUUCCGUGCCAGCAGCCGCGGUAAUACGGAAGGUCCAGGCGUUAUCCGGAUUUAUUGGGUUUAAAGGGAGCGCAGGCGGACCUUUAAGUCAGCUGUGAAAUACGGCGGCUCAACCGUCGAACUGCAGUUGAUACUGGAGGUCUUGAGUGCACACAGGGAUACUGGAAUUCAUGGUGUAGCGGUGAAAUGCUCAGAUAUCAUGAAGAACUCCGAUCGCGAAGGCAGGUAUCCGGGGUGCAACUGACGCUGAGGCUCGAAAGUGCGGGUAUCAAACAGGAUUAGAUACCCUGGUAGUCCGCACAGUAAACGAUGAAUACUCGCGAUUUGCGAUACACAGUAAGUCGCCAAGCGAAAGCGUUUAGUAUUCCACCUGGGGAGUACGCCGGCAACGGUGAAACUCAAAGGAAUUGACGGAAGGG
RNAcentral lists this ribosomal RNA (904 nucleotides) under uncultured bacterium. RNAcentral's name for it is "bacterial SSU rRNA". It matches the Rfam family "Bacterial small subunit ribosomal RNA", at positions 27 to 921 of the family's 1533-position model. The record is from RNAcentral.